This 230-nucleotide ribosomal RNA is filed under the name uncultured bacterium. Its description in RNAcentral is "partial 16S ribosomal RNA". It matches the Rfam family "Bacterial small subunit ribosomal RNA", at positions 562 to 791 of the family's 1533-position model. The record is from RNAcentral.
AAAGCGUGCGCAGGCGGUUAUGUAAGACAGAUGUGAAAUCUCCGGGCUCAACCUGGGAACUGCAUUUGUGACUGCAUGGCUAGAGUACGGUAGAGGGGGAUGGAAUUCCGCGUGUAGCAGUGAAAUGCGUAGAUAUGCGGAGGAACACCGAUGGCGAAGGCAAUCCCCUGGACCUGUACUGACGCUCAUGCACGAAAGCGUGGGGAGCAAACAGGAUUAGAUACCCCAGU